RNAcentral lists this ribosomal RNA (407 nucleotides) under uncultured bacterium. RNAcentral describes it as "partial 16S ribosomal RNA". It matches the Rfam family "Bacterial small subunit ribosomal RNA", at positions 29 to 526 of the family's 1533-position model. The record is from RNAcentral.
AUUGAACGCUGGCGGCAGGCCUAACACAUGCAAGUCGAGCGGAGCGGCGGACGGGUGAGUAAUGCCUAGGAAUCUGCCUGGUAGUGGGGGAUAACGCCCGGAAACGGGCGCUAAUACCGCAUACUGGCAGAUGAGCCGGGGUGGGAUUAGCUAGUUGGUGGGGUAAGGGCCGACCAAGGCGACGAUCCGUAACUGGCCUGAGAGGAUGAUCAGGCACACUGGAACUGAGACACGGCCCAGACUCCUACGGGAGGCAGCAGUAGGGAAUAUUGGACAAUGGGCGAAAGUCUGACCCAGCCAUGCCGCGUGAGUGAAGAAGGUUUUCGGAUUGUAAAGCACUUUAAGUUGAGAGGCGUUACCAAAAGAGUAAGCAACGGCUAACUCCGUGCCAGCAGCCGCGGUAAUAC